UACGUAGGGGGCAAGCGUUGUCCGGAAUCAUUGGGCGUAAAGCGCGUGUAGGCGGUCCGGUAAGUCCGCUGUGAAAGUCCAGGGCUCAACCCUGGGAUGCCGGUGGAUACUGUCGGGCUAGAGUACGGAAGAGGCGAGUGGAAUUCCCGGUGUAGCGGUGAAAUGCGCAGAUAUCGGGAGGAACACCAAUUGCGAAGGCAGCUCGCUGGGACGUUACUGACGCUGAGACGCGAAAGCAUGGGGAGCGAACAGG
RNAcentral lists this ribosomal RNA (253 nucleotides) under uncultured bacterium. RNAcentral describes it as "partial 16S ribosomal RNA". It matches the Rfam family "Bacterial small subunit ribosomal RNA", at positions 524 to 776 of the family's 1533-position model. The record is from RNAcentral.